This 23-nucleotide non-coding RNA is filed under the name Arabidopsis thaliana (thale cress). Lineage: Eukaryota; Viridiplantae; Streptophyta; Magnoliopsida; Brassicales; Brassicaceae. The record is from RNAcentral.
AAGUGCACGGAUUUCGAGGAAAG